AUUGAACGCUGGCGGCAUGCCUUACACAUGCAAGUCGAACGGUAACAGGUCCUCGGAUGCUGACGAGUGGCGAACGGGUGAGUAAUACAUCGGAACGUGCCUAGUAGUGGGGGAUAACUACUCGAAAGAGUGGCUAAUACCGCAUGAGAUCUACGGAUGAAAGCAGGGGAUCGCAAGACCUUGUGCUACUAGAGCGGCCGAUGGCAGAUUAGGUAGUUGGUGGGAUAAAAGCUUACCAAGCCGACGAUCUGUAGCUGGUCUGAGAGGACGAUCAGCCACACUGGGACUGAGACACGGCCCAGACUCCUACGGGAGGCAGCAGUGGGGAAUUUUGGACAAUGGCGCAAGCCUGAUCCAGCAAUGCCGCGUGCAGGAUGAAGGCCUUCGGGUUGUAAACUGCUUUUGUACGGAACGAAAAGCCCCGGGUUAAUACCCUGGGGUCAUGACGGUACCGUAAGAAUAAGCACCGGCUAACUACGUGCCAGCCGCCGCCGUAA
This 497-nucleotide ribosomal RNA is filed under the name uncultured bacterium. Its description in RNAcentral is "partial 16S ribosomal RNA". It matches the Rfam family "Bacterial small subunit ribosomal RNA", at positions 30 to 523 of the family's 1533-position model. The record is from RNAcentral.